This 370-nucleotide ribosomal RNA is filed under the name uncultured alga. RNAcentral describes it as "partial 23S ribosomal RNA". It matches the Rfam family "Bacterial large subunit ribosomal RNA", at positions 2098 to 2465 of the family's 2925-position model. The record is from RNAcentral.
GCUUGACUGUAGCUUGUAAUUGGGUUCGGGCUUUUUUGCGCAGCCUAGGUGGGAGGCAACGAUGAUUUUUUUCCGGAAAAAUUUAAGCCGUUAGUGAGAGACCACUCUGAAAAGGCUAGAAUCCUAAUAAUGAUCCUUGAAUCAGGACAUUUGACAGUUGCAGGUGGGCAGUUUUACUGGGGCGGUAUUCUCCUAAAAAGUAACGGAGGGGUGCAAAGGUUCCCUCAAGCUGGACGGAAAUCAGCUUAAGAGUGUAAAGGCAAAAGGGAGCUUGACUGCAAGACCUACAAGUCGAGCAGGGGGCGAAAGCCGGCCUUAGUGAUCCGACGGUACCACGUGGAAGGGCCGUCGCUCAACGGAUUAAAAGUUA